UGGCCAUACGGGUCAUGGCCGGGCCUGGCCGGGCUCAGCAGGGCCGUCCUCUGAUAAGUUUGUCCUCCUCCCGGAGACCCCGACCGUCCCUCGUCGGGAGAGGGGCCCCGGCUGCGCUCUCCAGUGAGCCUCCACUCCCACCAUCGCUCACCUCUCGCCUCACGCACGCAACAGAGUCUCGCUCCCAGACCCCAUCACCUCGCGCCGCUCCUCCGCCGCGGCGAUGCUCCUCGCCGGGCCGCAGCCCCCUACCCCGCCGCUGCUGCUCCCGGAGAGCAGCGGCGAGGACGGCGGCGCCCACGACCACGACUCCUCCUCGCGGGCCUCGGCCCCGAAGAAGCGCGCCGAGACCUGGGUCCAGGACGAGACGCUCAGCCUCAUCGCGCUGCGCCGUGAGAUGGACAACCACUUCAACACCUCCAAGUCCAACAAGCACCUCUGGGAGGCCAUCUCCGCCAAGAUGCGGGAGCAGGGCUUCGACCGCUCCCCGACCAUGUGCACCGACAAGUGGCGCAACCUACUCAAGGAGUUCAAGAAGGCGCGCAGCCACGCCCGCAGCAGCGCCGGCGCCGGCGGGAACGGCUCCGCCAAGAUGGCCUACUACAAGGAGAUCGACGACCUGCUCAAGCGCCGCGGGAAGGCGGCCGCCUCGCCCGCGGGGAGUGGUGGUGGAGGUGGCGCCGCGAAGAGCCCCACGCCCACCUCCAAGAUCGAGUCUUACCUGCAAUUCGCGGAUAAAGGUUUUGAAGAUGCCAACAUUCCAUUUGGUCCUGUUGAAGCGAGUCAUCCACUUGCCUUAACGACAGCUGAUGCAGUUGCAACCAAUGGUGUGAAUCCAUGGAACUGGAGAGACACCUCAACUAACGGUGGAGAUAAUCAGGGUACUUAUGGUGGGAGGGUCAUCCUAGUCAAGUGGGGUGACUAUACUAAAAGAAUAGGGAUUGAUGGUACUGCCGAGGCAAUUAAAGAGGCCAUCAAAUCGGCCUUUGGAUUAAGAACAAGGCGGGCUUUUUGGCUUGAAGAUGAGGACGAGGUUGUUCGUUCCUUGGACAGGGACAUGCCAGUCGGAGUAUAUGCUCUUCAUCUUGAUAAUGGGAUAACAAUCAAACUCUGCACAUUCGAAGAUGCAGACCGCAUGACAGUCCGGACAGAAGAUAAGACAUUCUACACUGAAGACGACUUCAGAGAUUUUCUGUCACGGCGUGGUUGGACACUCCUUAGGGAGUAUAGUGGCUACAGAGUUGCUGAUACUCUGGACGAUCUUCGCCCUGGCGCGAUUUACCAGGGGAUGCGCUCGCUUGUAGAUUGAUCAUGCAUCAUUUGUCCGACAAAGGGCAUCUAUAUCUGGGGUAUGUUGGUUUUGAGCCCAAGUUCGCCCUGCCAAGUUUUUGGGCUAUGAUAAUAAAAAAUAAAUGGGAAAACACACCCCUAAAUUAAUGUCCACCAUAGAAGUGGUCCGUCCAUACAGGUGAACAUAGUUCGAAGCCAGUCCUAGGCAUCCCUGACUGUAAAUGUAUUCCUGUAUUCGGGAGCCAUAUAUUUUAAGACUAUAGGAAUGGCUAUCUAGGUAAAUAUAUAGCCAUGGAAACAAACUCUGUAAGGUUUCCCGAGUUCAAUUUGCUCGGUGCUGUUGUUGCAGGAGCCACGACCAGGCUGUUUGAGAUUCAUUCAAUUGC
This 1676-nucleotide ribosomal RNA is filed under the name Triticum aestivum (bread wheat). Its description in RNAcentral is "partial small subunit ribosomal RNA". The record is from RNAcentral. Lineage: Eukaryota; Viridiplantae; Streptophyta; Magnoliopsida; Poales; Poaceae.